Long non-coding RNA from Camelus dromedarius (Arabian camel), 1388 nucleotides. RefSeq lists it as uncharacterized. The transcript is spliced from 7 exons. The record is from RefSeq and is a predicted model, not a curated record. NCBI's taxonomy places the organism in Eukaryota, Metazoa, Chordata, Mammalia, Artiodactyla, Camelidae.
UACUAUGCAUUUGCCAGCUCUUUUCAUAAUUACUGACAGAUGUUAUUAUCAACCAAAGAAGUAUUAGUUCUUUGUAAGGGAAAUGCAUGUUAGACCAUUUCAUUUAUCAUUUUCUGUAAUUCAGGCUUUUUCCCUCUGAAAUACCAUUUUCUGUCUGUGCACUAGUAAAUCACAGGGCUUUCCAAAUUUCAUCUGUCUGAGUUCUUGUCAUGAUGACAAUACUGCAGAGUUUUGACAUUUUUUAGGGACUCCAUCUGAGAUGACAGCAACCCCUCAAAUUCAGAAGCACUUCUCUAACUGACAACAUCUCGCAUGAAAUGAAGUUUGUAAAAUUGCAACUUCAGCCUCCAUCAGAGGACCUCAGCUGCCCCAGCGAACAGGGCCUUCUGUACAGGGAAUGUGCUCCUCCUCGAAGCAUAGACAAGAAGCAGCCCUUAGAUCUCAUCAGGAAAUUCUACGGAGAGAAGGUCGGAAUCUACUUUGCUUGGGCUGGGCUAUUACAUUCAGAUGCUCCUCCUGGCAGCAGUCGUGGGGGUGACUUGCUUUCUUGUGACCCAGGUGGCUGUCUCCUUGAACUGAUGAUGCAGCUGACAAUAAUCAUGGGAGGACAGUCCAUCUGGAAUAACAUACAAGAGGUGUUACUUCCGUGUUUCUCAUGUGCAAAUUGGUAUCCCUGCAUGAGAACCAUAAACCAACAGAAAACCCAAAAGACCGAGGACAAUGAUGGGUUGCCGACAGCCCAAGCUUUUCUGCCACAGAAGAGUGGUUCCAGUCAGGAAGACUGAGCAAGAGGCUCAGAGUCUUAGCUAAGGACAAGCAAGUCGGGACUUCUAAUACGACCUAAUGUCAUCGACGGGGGAGGGCAGUUCAGCACAAGAAUGGAGCACCAGCUGGGUCAUGAAUCUAAUGAUGCCACAGUUUCGGGAGCAGAACAGACCACCCCACGAUGGGAAUGGGACAACCAUCUGUAUCCAACGGGCAAACUGGGGUUAUUUUAUGAAUACCCUGAAAUGAGAGUAAAAGAAUUUAUGUUGUCCUUCCAUCCAUCCACCACUCCAUGUUUUGUGUCCAUUCCUUCAACAGGUAUUCAGUUUGGGUUCACCACAGUAUAUGUGGCCUCUUUCCAGUGGCCCCUCUGUUGGCUCUGGAGAACAAUAUAUUGGAAAUCAGAGUGGGUACGUGGAAACUUGACUACCCAGUAUAGACGCAUUGUGCCAGAAAAAGCCCAGAACAUCGCAGCAUGGCAGCCCACCAUGCAAGGAACAGCAAUUCUGGCUUUGGUGGACCAAUGUGAAUAAAAAGGCUUCAUUGGGUGAAGACUUAGAAAAGUCCAAAAAUGCAUUGGCGUUGUUUCCUAAGGAAUCUAGUGUUGGGUACUGUUUAAUAUG